Molecule: ribosomal RNA, 489 nt
Filed under: uncultured bacterium
Lineage: Bacteria
Description: partial 16S ribosomal RNA
Rfam family: Bacterial small subunit ribosomal RNA
Source: RNAcentral
AUUGAACGCUGGCGGCAGGCCUAACACAUGCAAGUCGAAUGGUAACAGGAAACAGCUUGCUGUUUCGCUGACGAGUGGCGGACGGGUGAGUAAUGUCUGGGAAACUGCCUGAUGGAGGGGGAUAACUACUGGAAACGGUAGCUAAUACCGCAUAACGUCGCAAGACCAAGAGGGGGACCUUCGGGGCUCUUUGCCUCAGAAUUGUCCAGAUGGGAUUAGCUAGUAGGUGGGGUAACGGCUCACCUAGGCGACGAUCCCUAGCUGGUCUGAGAGGAUGACCAGCCACACUGGAACUGAGACACGGUCCAGACUCCUACGGGAGGCAGCAGUGGGGAAUAUUGCACAAUGGGCGCAAGCCUGAUGCAGCCAUGCCGCGUGUAUGAAGAAGGCCUUCGGGUUGUAAAGUACUUUCAGCGGGGAGGAAGGGAGUAAAGUUAAUACCUUUGCUCAUUGACGUUACCCGAAGAAGAAGCACCGGCUAACUCCGUG